CUACGGGCUGCUGCAGUGGGGAAUAUUGCACAAUGGAGGAAACUCUGAUGCAGCAACGCCGCGUGGAGGAUGACACUUUUCGGAGUGUAAACUCCUUUUAUAUAGGAAGAUAAUGACGGUACUAUAUGAAUAAGCACCGGCUAACUCCGUGCCAGCAGGCCGCGGUAAUACGGAGGGUGCAAGCGUUACUCGGAAUCACUGGGCGUAAAGAGCGUGUAGGCGGAUAGAUAAGUCAGGAGUGAAAUCCUAUGGCUCAACCAUAGAACUGCUCUUGAAACUGUCUAUCUAGAAUAUGGGAGAGGUAGAUGGAAUUUCUGGUGUAGGGGUAAAAUCCGUAGAGAUCAGAAGGAAUACCGAUUGCGAAGGCGAUCUACUGGAACAUUAUUGACGCUGAGACGCGAAAGCGUGGGGAGCAAACAGGAUUAGAUACCCGCGUAGUC
This 440-nucleotide ribosomal RNA is filed under the name uncultured bacterium. Its description in RNAcentral is "partial 16S ribosomal RNA". It matches the Rfam family "Bacterial small subunit ribosomal RNA", at positions 339 to 795 of the family's 1533-position model. The record is from RNAcentral.